This is a long non-coding RNA of Gigantopelta aegis, 282 nucleotides long. RefSeq lists it as uncharacterized. NCBI's taxonomy places the organism in Eukaryota, Metazoa, Mollusca, Gastropoda, Neomphalida, Peltospiridae. The record is from RefSeq and is a predicted model, not a curated record. The transcript has 3 exons.
UAAUAAGCCCGUCCGUGACGACUCCGUCGUUAACAUGAUGAAAACAGAAGUCUACAGUGGGGUGGAACUCGGACUCGUUUUCACAGAUGUUUACACUUCCAGAUGGCGCUCGUGUAUAGACUCAAUAGACCAUAAAACGAUUAUCCUAAAUACACAGAAACCGAAACUAAAGAUUUCCGGGUAUUUAAAGUUGCUUCACUUUUCUUAAAUAAUUUCAUUAAAAGGUUCAAACACGCUGUCAUGAGCACACACUUCAACUAUCUGUACUGUCCGGAAUAGUGG